This 443-nucleotide unclassified non-coding RNA is filed under the name Hevea brasiliensis (rubber tree). Lineage: Eukaryota; Viridiplantae; Streptophyta; Magnoliopsida; Malpighiales; Euphorbiaceae. The record is from RNAcentral.
UUCAUCAUCAGGGAUCUCAACAUGGGGGGGUAGUUUCUUUCCUUCCUUUAUGAUGAUCGGCUUGGGCCCUGGCCGUGCGCGGCCCAUGGAGACUGAGAGCUUAUGAGGAAUUUGAUGCGCUACCCGAGCAGGAUAUCCUUUUCGGACUAAGUAAUAUUAUUAUAAUUAAUGUUUCGCUUCCACAUCUUUCAUCUUAACAUAAUUCAUUCAAUAAUAAAAAUAAAUCACACUCUUUUUUUAUAUAUAUUUAUUUUUGUUACACCCGAGAAUCACAUAUACGACAUGCCGAUUGUGAAACGUGUCAUUACUUUGUGCCCUUUGAAUCUUUGUCGUGUAGCCUCAUUGGACAGACCAGACCUCCUUUCUUUUCAUUUUUCAUUUUAAGAAAAAUUUUGUAUUUGAUUCUAAAAUUUUACUAUUAAUCUUAAAUAUUUUAAAAAUUG